Molecule: transfer RNA, 82 nt
Filed under: Coemansia helicoidea
Lineage: Eukaryota; Fungi; Kickxellomycota; Kickxellomycetes; Kickxellales; Kickxellaceae
Also listed under: 1 other name
Description: tRNA-Leu
Rfam family: tRNA
About the family: Transfer RNA (tRNA) molecules are approximately 80 nucleotides in length. Their secondary structure includes four short double-helical elements and three loops (D, anti-codon, and T loops). Further hydrogen bonds mediate the characteristic L-shaped molecular structure. tRNAs have two regions of fundamental functional importance: the anti-codon, which is responsible for specific mRNA codon recognition, and the 3' end, to which the tRNAs corresponding amino acid is attached (by aminoacyl-tRNA synthetases). tRNAs cope with the degeneracy of the genetic code in two manners: having more than one tRNA (with a specific anti-codon) for a particular amino acid; and 'wobble' base-pairing, i.e. permitting non-standard base-pairing at the 3rd anti-codon position.
Source: RNAcentral
GGUGAGAUGGCCGAGCGGUCUAAGGCGCUGCGUUAAGGCCGCAGUCUAUUCGUAGGCGUGGGUUCGAAUCCCACUCUCAUCA